AAAUGCCUUAAUUGGUGGUUUUGUUGCUAGGAAUUCUGGUUCUGCUUUGAUCUCGCAAUUUUGCAUAACGAGUGCACCUUUCGAAGCAGGUGUGGUCCUUCCCUGAGCAGUUACCAUGCAAUUCUGACCAUCACCUGGCUUCCUUACUAUUAAUUUGCAGUUUUGGAAUACGGCAGCUGCAUCACCAAACACGAAAUCUAUGGUUCCUGUAAUGAUACAAUCGCGAUAAAACUGUCUACCAGAGUGUGCGUAUAGUGUGU
This 260-nucleotide long non-coding RNA is filed under the name Nicotiana tabacum (common tobacco). RNAcentral describes it as "long non-coding RNA (NTAB_LNC012629)". The record is from RNAcentral. Lineage: Eukaryota; Viridiplantae; Streptophyta; Magnoliopsida; Solanales; Solanaceae.